This 209-nucleotide unclassified non-coding RNA is filed under the name Hevea brasiliensis (rubber tree). The record is from RNAcentral. Lineage: Eukaryota; Viridiplantae; Streptophyta; Magnoliopsida; Malpighiales; Euphorbiaceae.
AAAGAAAAGGCCGGUCCGAUUCGAUCGGACCGAUCCGGUCCGGUUUGAUUCGGCUGGUUCGAUUCAGGAUAUAAAUUUUUGAAUUUUUACUCUGCCUCGGGACCGAAAAAGAGGUCCAAAAAUUUCGAAAAAAAUUUAGAAAACUCAGAAAAAUUCGUAGACUCCAAAUAUAUUUUUAAUUUUGUCACGUGGUCUUUAAAUAAAUUUUU